This 494-nucleotide ribosomal RNA is filed under the name uncultured bacterium. RNAcentral's name for it is "partial 16S ribosomal RNA". It matches the Rfam family "Bacterial small subunit ribosomal RNA", at positions 28 to 507 of the family's 1533-position model. The record is from RNAcentral.
GACGAACGCUGGCGGCGUGCUUAACACAUGCAAGUCGAGCGGACAGACCUGCUUUCCCUUGUGGUUUCCGGGGGCUCGAGUGGCUAAGGGGUGAGCAGCACGUGAGUGAUCUGCACCCAACUUGGGUCUAGGCACGGGAAACUGUGUCUAAUAAUCGAUAGGACUGCAGGGUUGAACAUGGGAUGGCAAACGAUCUUCUAGUGGUUGAGGGUGCGCUCGCGGCCUAUCAGGUUGUUGGUGGGGUAGUGGCCUACCACGACGGGGAGCCGUCGACGGCGUGGGAGCGUGGACGGCCACACUGAGACUGAGAUACGGCCCAGACUCCUACGGGAGGCAGCAGAGGGGAAGAUGGCACCAUGGGCGGAAGGCUGAUGCAGCGAGGCCGCGUGGAGGAUGACGGCCUUCGGGUGGUAAGCUCCUUGCGAACGAGAGGAAGCCACCUGGUUGGAAGGGUGGUGACGGUAGUGGUAGAAGAAGCAACGGCUAACUACGUG